GAUUUCUGGCUUGUAACAGCUUAUCGGCCACGGUUUCGUGUGUUAGUGCUUGAUGUUCUGGCCAUCCUUCCAAUCGCCAUCGGCUUAUCUUCAUUGAUCGGUCGGUGGUAUUGGAUCUUUUACUUUGAAAAAAUUAGAGUGUUUCAAGCAGGCUUUAUGCUAUGAAUACAUUAGCAUGGAAUAAUAAUUUAGGACUUCGGUUCUAUUUUGUUGGUUUCUAGGACUGAAGUAAUGAUUGAUAGGGAUAGUUGGGGGUGCUAGUAUUCAGCGGCCAGAGGUGAAAUUCUCGGAUUCGCUGAAGACUAACUUAUGCGAAAGCAUU
This 322-nucleotide ribosomal RNA is filed under the name uncultured Sandona. RNAcentral describes it as "SSU rRNA". It matches the Rfam family "Eukaryotic small subunit ribosomal RNA", at positions 626 to 955 of the family's 1831-position model. The record is from RNAcentral. Lineage: Eukaryota; Cercozoa; Glissomonadida.